Molecule: ribosomal RNA, 398 nt
Filed under: uncultured bacterium
Lineage: Bacteria
Description: bacterial SSU rRNA
Rfam family: Bacterial small subunit ribosomal RNA
Source: RNAcentral
AUAUUGGACAAUGGGCGAAAGCCUGAUCCAGCAAUGCCGCGUGAGUGAUGAAGGCCCUAGGGUUGUAAAGCUCUUUUACCCGGGAUGAUAAUGACAGUACCGGGAGAAUAAGCCCCGGCUAACUCCGUGCCAGCAGCCGCGGUAAUACGGAGGGGGCUAGCGUUGUUCGGAAUUACUGGGCGUAAAGCGCGCGUAGGCGGUUUUUCAAGUCAGGGGUGAAAGCCCGGAGCUCAACUCCGGAAUUGCCCUUGAAACUGGAUGAAUUGAGUCUUGGAGAGGUCAGUGGAAUUCCGAGUGUAGAGGUGAAAUUCGUAGAUAUUCGGAAGAACACCAGUGGCGAAGGCGACUGACUGGACAAGUACUGACGCUGAGGUGCGAAAGCGUGGGGAGCAAACAGG